Molecule: ribosomal RNA, 1300 nt
Filed under: metagenome
Description: bacterial LSU rRNA
Rfam family: Bacterial large subunit ribosomal RNA
Source: RNAcentral
UACACGACCGUACCGCAAACCGACACUGGUGCGCGAGAUGAGUAUUCUAAGGCGCCUGAGAGAACUCAGGAGAAGGAACUCGGCAAAUUGACACCGUAACUUCGGAAGAAGGUGUGCCUUUAGUAGGUGAAGGGAUUUACUCCUGGAGCCCAAUGAGGAUGCAAAAAAUCGGUGGCUGCGACUGUUUAAUAAAAACACAGCACUCUGCAAACACGAAAGUGGACGUAUAGGGUGUGACGCCUGCCCGGUGCUGGAAGAUUAAAUGAUGGGGUGCAAGCUCUUGAUUGAAGUCCCAGUAAACGGCGGCCGUAACAAUAACGGUCCUAAGGUAGCGAAAUUCCUUGUCGGGUAAGUUCCGACCUGCACGAAUGGCGUAACGAUGGCCACACUGUCUCCUCCUGAGACUCAGCGAAGUUGAAAUGUUUGUGAUGAUGCAAUCUCCCCGCGGAAAGACGGAAAGACCCCAUGAACCUUUACUGUAGCUUUGUAUUGGACUUUGAACAGAUCUGUGUAGGAUAGGUGGGAGGCUUUGAAGUAGGGUCGCUAAAUCUUAUGGAGCCAACGUUGAAAUACCACCCUGGUGUGUUUGAGGUUCUAACCUAGGCCCGUUAUCCGGGCUGGGGACAGUGCAUGGUAGGCAGUUUGACUGGGGCGGUCUCCUCCCAAAGCGUAACGGAGGAGUUCGAAGGUACGCUAGUUACGGUCGGACAUCGUGACGAUAGUGCAAUGGCAUAAGCGUGCUUAACUGCGAGACUGACAAGUCGAGCAGAUGCGAAAGCAGGACAUAGUGAUCCGGUGGUUCUGUAUGGAAGGGCCAUCGCUCAACGGAUAAAAGGUACUCUGGGGAUAACAGGCUGAUACCGCCCAAGAGUUCAUAUCGACGGCGGUGUUUGGCACCUCGAUGUCGGCUCAUCUCAUCCUGGGGCUGUAGCCGGUCCCAAGGGUAUGGCUGUUCGCCAUUUAAAGAGGUACGUGAGCUGGGUUUAAAACGUCGUGAGACAGUUUGGUCCCUAUCUUCCGUGGGCGCUGCAGAUUUGAGGAAGCCUGCUCCUAGUACGAGAGGACCGGAGUGGACACACCUCUGGUGUAUCGGUUGUCACGCCAGUGGCAUUGCCGAGUAGCUAAGUGUGGAAGAGAUAACCGCUGAAAGCAUCUAAGCGGGAAACUCGUUUCAAGAUGAGAUCUGCCGGGGCCUUGAGCCCCCUAAAGAGUCGUUCAAGACCAGGACGUUGAUAGGUCAGGUGUGGAAGCGCAGUAAUGCGUUAAGCUAACUGAUACUAAUUGCUCGUGCGGCUUGACC